UACGUAGGUGGCAAGCGUUGUCCGGAAUUACUGGGUGUAAAGCGCGUGUAGGCGGGAGGCCAAGUCUGCUGUGAAAUCGCCCGGCUCAACUGGGCGGGGUCGGUGGAAACUGGUCACCUGGAGGACGGUAGAGGCGAGUGGAAUUCCCGGUGUAGUGGUGAAGUGCGUAGAGAUCGGGAGGAACACCAGUGGCGAAGGCGGCUCACUGGUCCGGUACUGACGCUGAGGUGCGAAAGCGUGGGGAGCAAACAGG
RNAcentral lists this ribosomal RNA (253 nucleotides) under uncultured bacterium. RNAcentral describes it as "partial 16S ribosomal RNA". It matches the Rfam family "Bacterial small subunit ribosomal RNA", at positions 524 to 776 of the family's 1533-position model. The record is from RNAcentral.